Molecule: ribosomal RNA, 377 nt
Filed under: uncultured Caldilineae bacterium
Lineage: Bacteria; Bacillati; Chloroflexota; Caldilineae
Description: bacterial SSU rRNA
Rfam family: Bacterial small subunit ribosomal RNA
Source: RNAcentral
UAAAACGUAGGGGACAAGUGUUAUCCGGAUUCACUGGGCGUAAAGCGCGUGCAGGUGGUGCUUUAAGUUGGGCGUGAAAUCUCCCGGCUUAACUGGGAGGAGUCGUUCAAUACUGGAGCACUUGAGGGCAGGAGAGGGAGGUGGAAUUCCCGGUGUAGUGGUGAAAUGCGUAGAUAUCGGGAGGAACACCAGUGGCGAAGGCGGCCUCCUGGCCUGCUUCUGACACUAAGACGCGAAAGCUAGGGGAGCAAACGGGAUUAGAUACCCCGGUAGUCCUAGCUGUAAACGAUGGAUACUAGGUGUGGGUGGCAUUGACCCCAUCCGUGCCGAAGCUAACGCGAUAAGUAUCCCGCCUGGGGACUACGGCCGCAAGGUUA